AGAUAAAGCUUGGACAAAAACCUCCCCUUCCUCUCUCAGGCUCUAUGUGCAUCCAUCCCAAAGAUGCACACUUGGUCGAAGAGGACGACUUUCCCUGACAGAGAAGGACGAGUCUCUGGUCAAGUGUAUAUGAGUAGCUGUGAUUCCCUGCUAGAACCUCCAAACAAGCUCUCUCUCUUCUUUGCUCUAACUUCCCUCUUU
RNAcentral lists this small RNA (201 nucleotides) under Nannospalax galili (Upper Galilee mountains blind mole rat). Its description in RNAcentral is "7SK RNA (ENSNGAG00000008629.1)". It matches the Rfam family "7SK RNA", at positions 63 to 248 of the family's 331-position model. Rfam says of the family: 7SK was discovered as an abundant small nuclear RNA in the mid-70s but a possible function has only recently been suggested. Two independent studies have found that 7SK RNA binds the CDK9/cyclin T complex (known as elongation factor P-TEFb). Lineage: Eukaryota; Metazoa; Chordata; Mammalia; Rodentia; Spalacidae. The record is from RNAcentral.